GUGCUCCCUUCGGCAGCACAUAUACUAAAACUGGAACGAUACAGAGAAGAUUAGCAUGGCCCCUGCACAAGGAUAACGUGCAAAUACAUGAAGCGUUCCAUAUUUAA
Molecule: small nuclear RNA, 107 nt
Organism: Cavia aperea (Brazilian guinea pig)
Lineage: Eukaryota; Metazoa; Chordata; Mammalia; Rodentia; Caviidae
Source: Ensembl